UCCAGACUCCUACGGGAGGCAGCAGUGGGGAAUAUUGGGCAAUGGGCGCAAGCCUGACCCAGCAACGCCGCGUGAAGGAAGAAGGCUUUCGGGUUGUAAACUUCUUUUCUCAGGGACGGAGCAAGUGACGGUACCUGAGGAAUAAGCCACGGCUAACUACGUGCCAGCAGCCGCGGUAAUACGUAGGUGGCAAGCGUUAUCCGGAUUUACUGGGUGUAAAGGGCGUGUAGGCGGGAGCGCAAGUCAGAUGUGAAAACUCAGGGCUCAACCCUGAGCCUGCAUUUGAAACUGUGUUUCUUGAGUGCUGGAGAGGCAAUCGGAAUUCCGUGUGUAGCGGUGAAAUGCGUAGAUAUAAGGAAGAACACCAGUGGCGAAGGCGGAUUACUGGACGAUAACUGACGGUGAGGCGCGAAAGCGUGGGGAGCAAACAGGAUUAGAUACCCGCGUAUAC
Molecule: ribosomal RNA, 451 nt
Filed under: uncultured bacterium
Lineage: Bacteria
Description: bacterial SSU rRNA
Rfam family: Bacterial small subunit ribosomal RNA
Source: RNAcentral